UUAAGUGCAAUGAAAAGUGGCAGGAGUUGGCGUGUUUUAAGUGCCAUGAAAGCUGCUGUACUUCAGUGGUGACUGACAGUAUUGCAGCAUUGACUCAACCUCUCCAGUAUUUCUGUGUUUUGAAAGGAAAGUGUGACUUGGAAUUCGCGAAUUGUAAUUACAUUCAUAUUGCUCGUACUAAUUAUUGGAACACGAAUCAGGAUCAGUGUUUUGUAAUAAAACCUUUCGAUGUUUGUUUCACCCA
Long non-coding RNA from Hippocampus comes (tiger tail seahorse), 244 nucleotides. RefSeq lists it as uncharacterized. The record is from RefSeq and is a predicted model, not a curated record. The transcript has 3 exons. Lineage: Eukaryota; Metazoa; Chordata; Actinopteri; Syngnathiformes; Syngnathidae.